Long non-coding RNA from Cylas formicarius (sweet potato weevil), 631 nucleotides. RefSeq lists it as uncharacterized. The transcript is spliced from 3 exons. Lineage: Eukaryota; Metazoa; Arthropoda; Insecta; Coleoptera; Brentidae. The record is from RefSeq and is a predicted model, not a curated record.
GGUUAACAAUUUGGAUCAUUUUGGAAGAUACAUACGCCGCGCUUUUCAAAGCGGACAGACGUGCCCUUGUCCAACUGAAACGAACACACGUGUCCUGUUGAACUUGAAAAAAGACGAAAUUAUUUUAAAAAGAUCAUGGUAACUCGUGAAGCAACAUCUCAGAAUUGAAUCGGGGAGUUGUGUAUUUGCUGGCAAUCCGGGCCUGCUUGGAUCAUUUUGGAAGAUACAUACGCCGCGCUUUUCAAAGCGGACAGACGUGCCCUUGUCCAACUGAAACGAACACACGUGUCCUGUUGAACUUGAAAAAAGACGAAAUUAUUUUAAAAAGGUAUAUUGUUGCUAAAUAAUAGAUUUUUUUUUAAUUAAAAUAUUUGACAGAUCAUGGUAACUCGUGAAGCAACAUCUCAGAAUUGAAUCGGGGAGUUGUGUAUUUGCUGGCAAUCCGGGCCUGCUUGGAUCAUUUUGGAAGAUACAUACGCCUGCGCUUUUCAAAGCGGACAGACGUGCCCGUGUCCCACUUGACAAAGGCGGAAUUAUUUUAGGAAAGACCAUGGCAACUAGUAAAGCAGAAUCCGAGAAUUCAAUCGGCGGCUGUAUGUUGACUGACAAGAAUAUAAUUGCUGUUAAUCCG